RNAcentral lists this ribosomal RNA (2903 nucleotides) under Shigella flexneri. RNAcentral describes it as "23S ribosomal RNA". It matches the Rfam family "Bacterial large subunit ribosomal RNA". The record is from RNAcentral. Lineage: Bacteria; Pseudomonadati; Pseudomonadota; Gammaproteobacteria; Enterobacterales; Enterobacteriaceae.
GGUUAAGCGACUAAGCGUACACGGUGGAUGCCCUGGCAGUCAGAGGCGAUGAAGGACGUGCUAAUCUGCGAUAAGCGUCGGUAAGGUGAUAUGAACCGUUAUAACCGGCGAUUUCCGAAUGGGGAAACCCAGUGUGAUUCGUCACACUAUCAUUAACUGAAUCCAUAGGUUAAUGAGGCGAACCGGGGGAACUGAAACAUCUAAGUACCCCGAGGAAAAGAAAUCAACCGAGAUUCCCCCAGUAGCGGCGAGCGAACGGGGAGCAGCCCAGAGCCUGAAUCAGUGUGUGUGUUAGUGGAAGCGUCUGGAAAGGCGUGCGAUACAGGGUGACAGCCCCGUACACAAAAAUGCACAUACUGUGAGCUCGAUGAGUAGGGCGGGACACGUGGUAUCCUGUCUGAAUAUGGGGGGACCAUCCUCCAAGGCUAAAUACUCCUGACUGACCGAUAGUGAACCAGUACCGUGAGGGAAAGGCGAAAAGAACCCCGGCGAGGGAGUGAAAAAGAACCUGAAACCGUGUACGUACAAGCAGUGGGAGCACGCUUAGGCGUGUGACUGCGUACCUUUUGUAUAAUGGGUCAGCGACUUAUAUUCUGUAGCAAGGUUAACCGAAUAGGGGAGCCGAAGGGAAACCGAGUCUUAACUGGGCGUUAAGUUGCAGGGUAUAGACCCGAAACCCGGUGAUCUAGCCAUGGGCAGGUUGAAGGUUGGGUAACACUAACUGGAGGACCGAACCGACUAAUGUUGAAAAAUUAGCGGAUGACUUGUGGCUGGGGGUGAAAGGCCAAUCAAACCGGGAGAUAGCUGGUUCUCCCCGAAAGCUAUUUAGGUAGCGCCUCGUGAAUUCAUCUCCGGGGGUAGAGCACUGUUUCGGCAAGGGGGUCAUCCCGACUUACCAACCCGAUGCAAACUGCGAAUACCGGAGAAUGUUAUCACGGGAGGCACACGGCGGGUGCUAACGUCCGUCGUGAAGAGGGAAACAACCCAGACCGCCAGCUAAGGUCCCAAAGUCAUGGUUAAGUGGGAAACGAUGUGGGAAGGCCCAGACAGCCAGGAUGUUGGCUUAGAAGCAGCCAUCAUUUAAAGAAAGCGUAAUAGCUCACUGGUCGAGUCGGCCUGCGCGGAAGAUGUAACGGGGCUAAACCAUGCACCGAAGCUGCGGCAGCGACGCUUAUGCGUUGUUGGGUAGGGGAGCGUUCUGUAAGCCUGUGAAGGUGUACUGUGAGGUAUGCUGGAGGUAUCAGAAGUGCGAAUGCUGACAUAAGUAACGAUAAAGCGGGUGAAAAGCCCGCUCGCCGGAAGACCAAGGGUUCCUGUCCAACGUUAAUCGGGGCAGGGUGAGUCGACCCCUAAGGCGAGGCCGAAAGGCGUAGUCGAUGGGAAACAGGUUAAUAUUCCUGUACUUGGUGUUACUGCGAAGGGGGGACGGAGAAGGCUAUGUUGGCCGGGCGACGGUUGUCCCGGUUUAAGCGUGUAGGCUGGUUUUCCAGGCAAAUCCGGAAAAUCAAGGCCGAGGCGUGAUGACGAGGCACUACGGUGCUGAAGCAACAAAUGCCCUGCUUCCAGGAAAAGCCUCUAAGCAUCAGGUAACAUCAAAUCGUACCCCAAACCGACACAGGUGGUCAGGUAGAGAAUACCAAGGCGCUUGAGAGAACUCGGGUGAAGGAACUAGGCAAAAUGGUGCCGUAACUUCGGGAGAAGGCACGCUGAUACGUAGGUGAAGCGACUUGCUCGUGGAGCUGAAAUCAGUCGAAGAUACCAGCUGGCUGCAACUGUUUAUUAAAAACACAGCACUGUGCAAACACGAAAGUGGACGUAUACGGUGUGACGCCUGCCCGGUGCCGGAAGGUUAAUUGAUGGGGUUAGCGCAAGCGAAGCUCUUGAUCGAAGCCCCGGUAAACGGCGGCCGUAACUAUAACGGUCCUAAGGUAGCGAAAUUCCUUGUCGGGUAAGUUCCGACCUGCACGAAUGGCGUAAUGAUGGCCAGGCUGUCUCCACCCGAGACUCAGUGAAAUUGAACUCGCUGUGAAGAUGCAGUGUACCCGCGGCAAGACGGAAAGACCCCGUGAACCUUUACUAUAGCUUGACACUGAACAUUGAGCCUUGAUGUGUAGGAUAGGUGGGAGGCUUUGAAGUGUGGACGCCAGUCUGCAUGGAGCCGACCUUGAAAUACCACCCUUUAAUGUUUGAUGUUCUAACGUGGACCCGUAAUCCGGGUUGCGGACAGUGUCUGGUGGGUAGUUUGACUGGGGCGGUCUCCUCCUAAAGAGUAACGGAGGAGCACGAAGGUUGGCUAAUCCUGGUCGGACAUCAGGAGGUUAGUGCAAUGGCAUAAGCCAGCUUGACUGCGAGCGUGACGGCGCGAGCAGGUGCGAAAGCAGGUCAUAGUGAUCCGGUGGUUCUGAAUGGAAGGGCCAUCGCUCAACGGAUAAAAGGUACUCCGGGGAUAACAGGCUGAUACCGCCCAAGAGUUCAUAUCGACGGCGGUGUUUGGCACCUCGAUGUCGGCUCAUCACAUCCUGGGGCUGAAGUAGGUCCCAAGGGUAUGGCUGUUCGCCAUUUAAAGUGGUACGCGAGCUGGGUUUAGAACGUCGUGAGACAGUUCGGUCCCUAUCUGCCGUGGGCGCUGGAGAACUGAGGGGGGCUGCUCCUAGUACGAGAGGACCGGAGUGGACGCAUCACUGGUGUUCGGGUUGUCAUGCCAAUGGCACUGCCCGGUAGCUAAAUGCGGAAGAGAUAAGUGCUGAAAGCAUCUAAGCACGAAACUUGCCCCGAGAUGAGUUCUCCCUGACCCUUUAAGGGUCCUGAAGGAACGUUGAAGACGACGACGUUGAUAGGCCGGGUGUGUAAGCGCAGCGAUGCGUUGAGCUAACCGGUACUAAUGAACCGUGAGGCUUAACCUU